ACGGAAGGCAGCAGUGGGGAAUAUUGGACAAUGGGGGAAACCCUGAUCCAGCGACGCCGCGUGCGUGAAGAAGUAUUUCGGUAUGUAAAGCUCUAUCAGCAAGGAAGAAAAUGACGGUACUUGACUAAGAAGCUCCGGCUAAAUACGUGCCAGCAGCCGCGGUAAUACGUAUGGAGCAAGCGUUAUCCGGAUUUACUGGGUGUAAAGGGAGCGUAGACGGCAAAGCAAGUCUGAAGUGAAAUCCCGGGGCUCAACCCCGGAACUGCUUUGGAAACUGUUUAGCUAGAGUGCAGGAGAGGUAAGCGGAAUUCCUAGUGUAGCGGUGAAAUGCGUAGAUAUUAGGAGGAACACCAGUUGCGAAGGCGGCUUACUGGAGUGUAACUGACGUUGAGGCUCGAAAGCGUGGGGAGCAAACAGGAUUAGAUACCCUGGUA
RNAcentral lists this ribosomal RNA (434 nucleotides) under uncultured Lachnospiraceae bacterium. Its description in RNAcentral is "partial 16S ribosomal RNA". It matches the Rfam family "Bacterial small subunit ribosomal RNA", at positions 341 to 792 of the family's 1533-position model. The record is from RNAcentral. Lineage: Bacteria; Bacillati; Bacillota; Clostridia; Lachnospirales; Lachnospiraceae.